UGAUAAUUCUGGUAUGACUUUCGGUUGAGGUUUGGGACAGAAGUUAUUGCCCGAUACUUUCUGUGUGACUUUGGGUAGAGCGUUGGGGCUUGACAAGGCCCAUAUUGCAUCACAGAAAACACUGGAGUUUGACUAUAUAGGCGUGCCCACCUUCUGCUGCUUAUGUCUACACUAGAAGAUGGAUCUGAGGGAACUGCUUGGCAGAGUGACGUGGGAUAAAGCCUUGGAGGGAAGAGGGGCCCAAGAAAGCUGAUCCUAUUGAAGGACCAUCUCCUCCAAACUUCUUGAAAAGCAGUGCAUCUCAAGAAGAAGGAAGUCAGGCAAGAAUGCCAGGAGGCCUCCAGGGGUCAACAAGGAUCCCCAAAGCACAAAAACUUAAGCACAAAAACAAAGCCCAUAGGGAGUGGAAGCAGGAACAGAUUACAUGGAAGCACUACAAAGGAGUCAAUGGAGCAGUCAAGGAUAAGGUUAAGAAAGCUAAAACCCAGACAAAAUCUAUUCAGGGACACAAGGGGGAACAAGAAGAAAUUCUACAGGUAUACCAGUGAUAAAAGGAAGGUCCAAGAGGAUGCAGAACCUCCCCAGUAGAAACCUGGAGAUCUGUUCACAAGGGACACGGAGAAAGAUUGAGGAGCUCAAUGACUGCUUUGCCUCAGCCUUCACGAGCAAGGGCUCUAUCCACACCGCCCAAGCUGCAAAGCAAAAGGAAAGCAAAGGGAAGAACAGGGAGAAGGAAGAUCUACCUGCUGUAAGUGAAGAUCAGUUUUGACACCAUCUAAAGAACAUGAAGGUGCACAAGUCUGUGGGACCAGACAAGAUCCGCCCACGAGUUCUGAGAGAACAAAU
Molecule: long non-coding RNA, 846 nt
Organism: Lagopus leucura (white-tailed ptarmigan)
Lineage: Eukaryota; Metazoa; Chordata; Aves; Galliformes; Phasianidae
Exons: 3
Source: RefSeq, a predicted model, not a curated record